CAUCUGGUAGGAUUAAUUAAUCCAAAGUUUACAUCUGACAGUAAUUAAAAAUCACCAAGCCAAUGAGAUAUAAAUAGGAUUUCAACUGUAAUAAAGAGAAGAGAGAGGAAGGAAGUGGAGGUUAUUUGUAGAAAAGAGAAAUUCAAAAGGUCAAAUUCUUCCAGAAGAAUUUAAAAUCUCCAAAUUGGAGAGGAAUUUUCAUGCACAGACCACAACUGGCUCCAAGAAGUCAAGAAAGCAAGAACUAGCUGACACAGGUGUCUUGUAUUGGAAACACUGAGCAAAGUGAGAAACCUGGAAAGAAUAAUUUUGAGAAAACUCACAGUCCAGACUCUCAUUAAAAAGUACGUGUAUCUUUUUUUGUCACAUCCUUAUUACAUAUAUGCAUA
Molecule: long non-coding RNA, 389 nt
Filed under: Capra hircus (goat)
Lineage: Eukaryota; Metazoa; Chordata; Mammalia; Artiodactyla; Bovidae
Description: lncRNA (ENSCHIG00000006922.1)
Source: RNAcentral